Molecule: ribosomal RNA, 468 nt
Filed under: uncultured bacterium
Lineage: Bacteria
Description: bacterial SSU rRNA
Rfam family: Bacterial small subunit ribosomal RNA
Source: RNAcentral
GGCCAGACUCCUACGGGAGGCAGCAGUGAGGAAUAUUGGUCAAUGGGCUUACGCCUGAACCAGCCAAGUCGCGUGAGGGAAGACUGCCCUAUGGGUUGUAAACCUCUUUUGUCAGGGAGCAACGCCGGCUACGUGUAGCCGGACUGAGAGUACCUGAAGAAAAAGCAUCGGCUAACUCCGUGCCAGCAGCCGCGGUAAUACGGAGGAUGCGAGCGUUAUCCGGAUUUAUUGGGUUUAAAGGGUGCGUAGGCGGAAUGCCAAGUCAGCGGUAAAAUCGCGGGGCUCAACCUCGCUCCGCCGUUGAAACUGUCGGACUAGAGACGGCGAGAAGUACGCGGAAUGCGCGGUGUAGCGGUGAAAUGCAUAGAUAUCGCGCAGAACUCCGAUUGCGAAGGCAGCGUACCGGCGCCGGACUGACGCUGAGGCACGAAAGCGUGGGUAUCGAACAGGAUUAGAUACCCCCGUAUA